RNAcentral lists this long non-coding RNA (1074 nucleotides) under Vigna radiata. RNAcentral describes it as "long non-coding RNA (VRAD_LNC000485)". The record is from RNAcentral. Lineage: Eukaryota; Viridiplantae; Streptophyta; Magnoliopsida; Fabales; Fabaceae.
AUUAUUGGAUUUAGUGUGUUUGGGAAUAAAAAGGGCUUAAAAAGUGAUUUUAAUUGCAUAAAUUAUUCUUGGAUGUUCUAAUAUUUAUUUGUGCAGCUGAAGUUAGAGUUUUAUUGGUCCAAAUUGCAAUUUAAAGCCCAAAAUCAGAUUUUAUUUGAUAAAUAAUGUCUAGAUGGGCCAAAUAGGCAAUUUUUACUCCUGCACCCCCAGAUUUCCCUACAUGCACCUCUCUUCUAAACCAGGCCAACAACCAAGCCCAAAACACUAAGCCUUUUAUAUCCGUAACCCCUAUUUUCCUAUACACACCCCUCCUACCCUAGACUUCACCAGAUCACGCCACAUGUCCAAAUCCUCUGCAUACCAGAUAGACCAACCAGCACAUGCCACCUCAGCCCACUUGCCACGUCAUCACCACUUUCUCCAGAAACCCUAAUUUCGUAAACCCUAGCCGCCACCUUCGACCUAGCCGUCGGCCACCGUAAACGACGCACCAUCACUAGCACCCAUCAACGCAACAAGCGUCCAAUCCGCACCCUAGCCGCCGCAGGAACGACCAUCUCCUCAGCAAGCCACCGGACCUAUACCAAGAAAACCCAGAAAUCGUUGCAGAACCAGUCACCAUACUCCUCGCAAAAGACCUCUGUGCCAUCCAUCAUCAAACCAUCACCGGACCACAAAGUCGCCGUCGACGAGCAACCCAGAAUCGCGGUUCAGCCUUCGUCGCGAGUCUUCUUCCUCGCAGACACCAUCCACCGUCCACACCGUCAAGACCAUCACCGUGAGAAACCCAAAUCGCAACCUGCAGAAAACCCAGAAACACAGAAUCCGCACUAUCACCACACGCAGAAACCCAGAUCCAAGAUCGCACCACCCUCCAUGGCCGCCACCUUCUUCCUCGACGCCGUCACCAUGCUGCAGUUCAGUAAGCCUCGCGGAAUCGAAUCAUCUCCCUCCGCCUCCACCUUCUUCGAAUCUGGAUCAUCUUCAUCACCAUAACCACCGAGAGCAAGCCGCCGGCAGCCACCAUCGAAUCGCACAUCAACGCCAUCUUCAACGUAAACCACCACCUGCACA